Molecule: unclassified non-coding RNA, 224 nt
Filed under: Rhodotorula kratochvilovae
Lineage: Eukaryota; Fungi; Basidiomycota; Microbotryomycetes; Sporidiobolales; Sporidiobolaceae
Description: partial internal transcribed spacer region
Rfam family: Eukaryotic small subunit ribosomal RNA (bases 1-46)
Source: RNAcentral
AAGUCGUAACAAGGUUUCCGUAGGUGAACCUGCGGAAGGAUCAUUAGUGAAUCUAGGGUGUCCAAUUUAACUUGGAGCCCGAACUCUCACUUUCUAACCCUGUGCAUCUGUUAUUGGUUAGUAGCUCUUCGGAGUGAACUCCAUUCACUUACAAACACAAAGUCUAUGAAUGUAUACAAAAUUAUAACAAAACAAAACUUUCAACAACGGAUCUCUUGGCUCUC